UCGGUUUUCGGUUUCGGACCGGCCGAAACCGAACCGAAAACCGAAUACCCUUAAAACGAAGUCGUUUUGUAUAUGUAUAAAUAUAAUGCGGAAACCCUAAAAACCUAAAAGCCUCAAUCCGCCUCUCUCGUCUCAGUCCCUCUCUCUCACUCUCUCAGUCUCUCUGUCCCGAACGAGCUUCGAACUCAGCCCCUACCCCCGACCUCUCCCUCUCCCUCUCUCUCUGACCCCUGUUAGGCUAACAGCCUCACGUACUCAUCCGCUUUCCUUCUUUCAGUCUCUGAAAGCUGCUGGAGCUCCAACCGUCUGCCGCCAAUCGAUUUCGAAGCAAAGCUCUGACCUUUCUCUCGAUCUGAGCUUGACAGCUUGGUAAUCAAAUCAACACAUCUGGACGAUCUCGUCAUCUCCCUCGCACCUUCGCCGGAAUUCUUCGGCUAUUGCCG
Molecule: long non-coding RNA, 443 nt
Organism: Rosa rugosa (rugosa rose)
Lineage: Eukaryota; Viridiplantae; Streptophyta; Magnoliopsida; Rosales; Rosaceae
Exons: 2
Source: RefSeq, a predicted model, not a curated record